GGCUUAAUAGCUCAGUGGCAGAGCACCGGUUUUGUAAACCGACGGCCGGGGGUUCAAAUCCCUCUUAAGCCU
RNAcentral lists this transfer RNA (72 nucleotides) under Enterospora canceri. It matches the Rfam family "tRNA". From Rfam's summary of the family: Transfer RNA (tRNA) molecules are approximately 80 nucleotides in length. Their secondary structure includes four short double-helical elements and three loops (D, anti-codon, and T loops). Further hydrogen bonds mediate the characteristic L-shaped molecular structure. tRNAs have two regions of fundamental functional importance: the anti-codon, which is responsible for specific mRNA codon recognition, and the 3' end, to which the tRNAs corresponding amino acid is attached (by aminoacyl-tRNA synthetases). tRNAs cope with the degeneracy of the genetic code in two manners: having more than one tRNA (with a specific anti-codon) for a particular amino acid; and 'wobble' base-pairing, i.e. permitting non-standard base-pairing at the 3rd anti-codon position. Lineage: Eukaryota; Fungi; Microsporidia; Enterocytozoonidae. The record is from Rfam by way of RNAcentral.